AUUGUACUUCCUCCGUCCGAAAAUACUUGUCAUCAAAUGGAUAAAAAGGGAUGUGUCUAAAACUAAAAUACAUCUAGAUACAUCUCCUUUUAUCCAUUUUGCUGACAAGUAUUUCCGGACGGAGGGAGUACUUU
Triticum aestivum (bread wheat) is the source of this 134-nucleotide non-coding RNA. The record is from Rfam. NCBI's taxonomy places the organism in Eukaryota, Viridiplantae, Streptophyta, Magnoliopsida, Poales, Poaceae.